This 331-nucleotide long non-coding RNA is filed under the name Pan troglodytes (chimpanzee). RNAcentral's name for it is "long non-coding RNA NONPTRT011178". The record is from RNAcentral. Lineage: Eukaryota; Metazoa; Chordata; Mammalia; Primates; Hominidae.
AGGAGUGAAAUAUACAUUCUUCUCACUUGUACAUGGAACAUUCUCCAAGAUAAAUCAUACAUUAGGCUACAAAUUUAAAGUCACGAAGGUUGAAAUUAUAUCAGAUAUCUUUUCUGACCACAAUGAUAUAAAAGUAGAAAUCAAUAACAAGAAGAGUAACAUUUAGCUAGACUAAGAAAAAAGAAAGAAGACUCAAAUGAAUAAAAUCAGAAAUAAAAGAGAAGACACUGUAAUUCAUACUACAGACACACAAAGGACCAUAAGAGAUUGCUAUGAACAAUUAUACACCAAAGAAUUGGAUAACCUAGAAGAAAUGGGUAAAUUCCUAGAC